This 667-nucleotide ribosomal RNA is filed under the name uncultured organism. RNAcentral's name for it is "bacterial SSU rRNA". It matches the Rfam family "Bacterial small subunit ribosomal RNA", at positions 47 to 734 of the family's 1533-position model. The record is from RNAcentral.
CCUAAUACAUGCAAGUCGAGCGAUGAGGCUCCUUCGGGAGUACAUCAGCGGCGAACGGGUGAGUAACACGUGGGUGACUUGCCCCGAAGAUGGGGAUAACCUCUGGAAACGGGGGCUAAUACCCAAUGUGCUCGGUGAUUCGGUUCAUCGAGUAAAGCUCCGGCGCUUCGGGAGAGGCCUGCGGCCCAUCAGCUAGUUGGUAGGGUAACGGCCUACCAAUGCAGAGACGGGUAGGGGGCGUGAGAGCGCGGACCCCCACACUGGCACUGAGAUACGGGCCAGACUCCUACGGGAGGCAGCAGGGAGGGAUAUUGCGCAAUGGACGAAAGUCAGACGCAGCGACGCCGCGUGGGCGAUGAAGGCCUUCGGGUUGUAAAGCCCUUUUAUGGGGGAAGAGAAAAAGGACGGUACCCCAGGAAUAAGUCCCGGCUAACUACGUGCCAGCAGCCGCGGUAAAACGUAGGGGACAAGCGUUAUCCGGAUUCACUGGGCGUAAAGAGCGUUGAGGCGGUUCCGUAAGUUGGGCGUGAAAGCUCCGGGCUUAACUCGGAGAUGUCGUUCAAUACUGCGGGGCUUGAGGACAGCAGAGGAAGGUGGAAUUCCCGGUGUAGUGGUGAAAUGCGUAGAUAUCGGGAGGAACACCCGUGGCGAAGGCGGCCUUCUGGGC